GGCUCCAUGGUCAAGCGGUUAAGACAUCGCCCUUUCACGGCGGUAUCGGGGGUUCGAUUCCCCCUGGAGUCA
RNAcentral lists this transfer RNA (72 nucleotides) under Clostridia bacterium. Its description in RNAcentral is "tRNA-Glu". It matches the Rfam family "tRNA". Rfam says of the family: Transfer RNA (tRNA) molecules are approximately 80 nucleotides in length. Lineage: Bacteria; Bacillati; Bacillota; Clostridia. The record is from RNAcentral.